This 253-nucleotide ribosomal RNA is filed under the name uncultured bacterium. RNAcentral describes it as "partial 16S ribosomal RNA". It matches the Rfam family "Bacterial small subunit ribosomal RNA", at positions 524 to 776 of the family's 1533-position model. The record is from RNAcentral.
UACGGAGGGUGCAAGCGUUAUUCGGAAUCACUGGGCGUAAAGGGCGCGUAGGCGGUUUGUUAAGUUUGAUGUGAAAGCCCGGGGCUCAACUCCGGAAGUGCAUCGAAUACUGGCAAACUAGAGUAUGGGAGAGGAUGGUGGAAUUCCUGGUGUAGAGGUGAAAUUCGUAGAUAUCAGGAGGAACAUCGGCGGCGAAGGCGGCCAUCUGGACCAUAACUGACGCUUAGGCGCGAAAGCGUGGGGAGCAAACAGG